Molecule: ribosomal RNA, 253 nt
Filed under: uncultured bacterium
Lineage: Bacteria
Description: partial 16S ribosomal RNA
Rfam family: Bacterial small subunit ribosomal RNA
Source: RNAcentral
UACGGAGGGGGCAAGCGUUGUUCGGAAUUACUGGGCGUAAAGGGCGCGCAGGCGGCUGCUCAAGUCAGGCGUGAAAGCCCCGGGCUUAACCUGGGAGGUGCGUCUGGGACUGGGUGGCUAGAGUUCGGGAGAGGAGAGUGGAAUUCCCAGUGUAGAGGUGAAAUUCGUAGAUAUUGGGAAGAACACCGGUGGCGAAGGCGGCUCUCUGGACCGAGACUGACGCUGAGGCGCGAAAGCGUGGGGAGCAAACAGG